UCAAAGAUUAAGCCAUGCAUGUCUCAGUACAAGCCAAAUUAAGGUGAAACCGCGAAAGGCUCAUUAAAUCAGUUAUGGUUCCUUAGAUCGUACCCACAUUUACUUGGAUAACUGUGGUAAUUCUAGAGCUAAUACAUGCAAACAGAGCUCCGACCGGAGACGGAAGGAGUGCUUUUAUUAGAUCAAAACCAAUCGGUGGCGGGUUGGUGACUCUGAAUAACUUUAAGCUGAUCGCACGGUCCUCGCACCG
This 250-nucleotide ribosomal RNA is filed under the name Stenoscelis gedensis. RNAcentral describes it as "partial 18S ribosomal RNA". It matches the Rfam family "Eukaryotic small subunit ribosomal RNA", at positions 37 to 286 of the family's 1831-position model. The record is from RNAcentral. Lineage: Eukaryota; Metazoa; Arthropoda; Insecta; Coleoptera; Curculionidae.